AUUGAACGCUGGCGGCAGGCCUAACACAUGCAAGUCGAGCGAGCGGCGGACGGGUGAGUAAUGUCUGGGAAACUGCCUGCUGGAGGGGGAUAACUACUGGAAACGGUAGCUAAUACCGCAUACCAUCCGAUGUCCCCAGAUGGGAUUAGCUAGUAGGUGGGGUAACGGCUCACCUAUGCGACGAUCCCUAGCUGGUCUGAGAGGAUGACCAGGCACACUGGGACGGAGAGACGGUCCAGACUGCUCAGGGAGGCAGCAGUGGGGAAUAUUGCUCAAUGGGCGCGAGCCUGAUGCAGCCAUGCCGCGUGUGUGAAGAAGGCGUUAGGGUUGUAAAGCACUUUCAGCGGGGAGGAGUUACCCGCAGAAGAAGCACCGGCUAACUCCGGGCCAGCAGCCGCGGUAAUUC
Molecule: ribosomal RNA, 406 nt
Filed under: uncultured bacterium
Lineage: Bacteria
Description: partial 16S ribosomal RNA
Rfam family: Bacterial small subunit ribosomal RNA
Source: RNAcentral